CCCUCCCCAGCUGUCCCCACCAUCGGAGAGAGUCAGUUAUAUAACGCCGCUGACGAACGGGCCCGGGCUCCGGGGCGGCAGCGGCUGGCGGCGGGGAGCCCGGCUAACGGGGAAGGGGCUCGCCGAGGACCGGGCUCCGCCGCGGGAGGGGAAAGGUCACCGCCCGGAGGGUCGGGGAGGGGAAAUCCCAGCCGGCCUUCCCGGGCCGGACGGCCCGGGCCUCGCUGCUCCUGCUUCGUUGAACUCGGGAGCAGGGGAAAGGACGGACGCUCAGGACGGAGGGGAAGGCCGCGAGCCCGGGAUGAAUCGUCUCUCUCUACUGCUGAACUGUCCUUUCGAAGCGCUCCGUACGGCGCCCCGCACACAGCAAGCGCUCGAUAGAGACGACCGGACGAAAGAACGGGCUCCUCGGAUCGAUCGAUCGGAUUUCCGGAGCGCCGACUACGCGCAGAGCACCGUGCUAAGCUCUCGAACGGAUGCAGCACAAGGGAGAGCGCCCAGGCCCGGGAAUCUAGAGACCCGGGUUCUCAUCCUGGCUCCGCCGGCUGCCUGCCGUGGCACCCCGGGCGAGUCCCUUCCCUCCUCCGGGCUGGCCCCGUUAACCCUGGAGGGUCCUCCGUCCCCCCUUCCGGACUGUGAGUUUGUGGGCGGGGAGCGUGUCGACCGACUCUGUGGGACUGGACUCUUCCAGACGUUUCGUACAGGUGGCCUGCACACAGUAAGCGGAUAAUAAAUAGCACGGACGGGUGCCGCGGGUCCGCCGGUCCGCCCCCGCCUGAGCCCCGGGGGGUGUCCUCUUAAUAAUAAUAAAGAUGUCACUUGAGCG
Long non-coding RNA from Ornithorhynchus anatinus (platypus), 826 nucleotides. RefSeq lists it as uncharacterized. The transcript has 3 exons. Lineage: Eukaryota; Metazoa; Chordata; Mammalia; Monotremata; Ornithorhynchidae. The record is from RefSeq and is a predicted model, not a curated record.